This 911-nucleotide ribosomal RNA is filed under the name uncultured archaeon. RNAcentral's name for it is "bacterial SSU rRNA". It matches the Rfam family "Archaeal small subunit ribosomal RNA", at positions 1 to 922 of the family's 1478-position model. The record is from RNAcentral.
UCCGGUUGAUCCUGCCGGACCUGACUGCUAUCGGAUUGGUACUAAGCCAUGCGAGUCAUUGUAGCAAUACAAGGCGGACGGCUCAGUAACACGUAGUCAACUAACUCGUGGACGUGGAUAACCUCGGGAAACUGAGAAUAAACCACGAUAGAUCAUAGUGCCUGGAAUGGCUUAUGGUCCAAACAGUUUACUGCCAUGGGAUGGGACUGCGGCCUAUCAGCUUGUUGGUGAGGUAAUGGCCCACCAAGGCGAUUACAGGUACGGGCUCUGAGAGGAGUAGCCCGGAGAUGGGUACUGAGACACGGACCCAGGCCCUAUGGGGCGCAGCAGGCGAGAAACCUUAGCAAUGUGCGAAAGCACGACUGGGUCAGUCCGAGUGAUUCCUGAUAAAGGAGUCUUUUGCCUGUCCUAAAAGCACAGGUGAAUAAGGGGUGGGCAAGUCUGGUGUCAGCCGCCGCGGUAAUACCAGCACCUCGAGUGGUCAGGACGUUUAUUGGGCCUAAAGCAUCCGUAGCCGGCUCUGCAAGUCUUCGGUUAAAUCCACCUGCUCAACAGAUGGGCCGCUGGAGAUACUACAGAGCUAGGGAGUGGGAGAGGCAGACGGUAUUCAGUGGGUAGGGGUAAAAUCCUCUGAUCCAUUGAGGACCACCAGUGGCGAAGGCGGUCUGCCAGAACACGUUCGACGGUGAGGGAUGAAAGCUGGGGGAGCAAACCGGGUUAGAUACCCGGGUAGUCCCAGCUGUAAACGAUGCAAACUCGGUGAUGCAUUGGCUUAUGGCCAAUGCAGUGCCGCAGGGAAGCCGUUAAGUUUGCCGCCUGGGAAGUACGGACGCAAGUCUGAAACUUAAAGGAAUUGGCGGGGGAGCACCACAAGGGGUGAAGCCUGCGGUUCAAUUGGAUUCAACGCCGGA